UACGUAGGGGCCGAGCGUUGUCCGGAGUUACUGGGCGUAAAGCGCGCGCAGGCGGCUCGUCAAGCCUGACGUGAAAGCCCCCGGCUCAACCGGGGAGGGUCGUCGGGGACUGGCGGGCUUGAGGUCGGCAGGGGUUGGUGGAAUUCCCGGUGUAGUGGUGAAAUGCGUAGAUAUCGAGAGGAACACCUGCGGCGAAGGCGGGUUGCUGGGCUGACACUGACGCUGAGGCGCGAAAGCUAGGGGAGCGAACGGG
Molecule: ribosomal RNA, 253 nt
Filed under: uncultured bacterium
Lineage: Bacteria
Description: partial 16S ribosomal RNA
Rfam family: Bacterial small subunit ribosomal RNA
Source: RNAcentral